CUCUGGAGUGGCUCUACCUCAGGGCCUCAGGAGCAGUUCUCACUGGACCCGGGGGGGAAACCAGUAGGGAAACGGAGGCCUUCCCAAGCACAGAGCAAGGACGGCCCUCUCCCAUUCAGCAGCUGGAUGUCAGUCAGGGCUCUUACUGUGUCCUUGACCUGGGAACUCCCCGAGCACCUGGCCGGCGGGACCGUUGCCCACAAUUCGGAGGACUUACAGGUGGAGCUGCUCAGGGUCUACUUUUAUCCAUUCCCAGAGGCCUUGACACUCCACCCACCCUGUGGCCUGCUUUCCUGGAACCUGCCAGCGAUCCAGCUGAGUGCUUGCCAGACCCUUUGCUGGGUGCUGGGAUGGUAUGAGAGCAAACGAAUGCGCUCCUCUAGUGAACUUUAGUCUGCUGGGCGAGAUAGACAUUAUUAGUGAAUACUUAAUAAUUGCUCAAGGGAAAGUUUUCAGCGUUGACAAAGUUUAAUAAAAGUGCCAGGAGUGCCAGGAGCAUGAAUAAGCAAGAGACCUGAUGCAGACUUGGGGGUCAGGGAAAUGAUACCGGAGAUCUGAGGAAUUUACAGGAGUUAACUACACGGAAAAGAAGUAGGGCACCGCAGGAGACCCUGAACUGGUGAGAGAACUGCAAGAUCUGUAUGACAAAUCCUAGAGUAGGGGAACAGUGGAGGAGAUAAGGAUACAAAGAUCACCAAGGACAGUAGAUCAUGGAAGGAGUUGUGGUCUAGGCCCUAAAAGGAAUGGGGAGCCACUGAAGGAUUUUAACCAGGUAUUUCCAAAAGAUGUUGGCAGGAGCCAUAAUGGAUGUGUCUGGAGGAAAUGAACAGGUCAUUGAGUCAGGUGACUUGAAAACUCUUUGCUGGAGGACCGGAUUCUAGUCUACUGAGAGCUGUUCCAUACCAAAACUGCCAGAGACUGUUGGAGUAGAGGGUGACUGCUCACUCAGGCUUGUGAGACCUGUUGAGUGAUUGGGGAUCACUGCUGAGAUGCCUCCUUCUGGGGAUUUCCCCUUGGAGUGGACUUCUGGAGAAAUGACAGUCCCUUGCUACUGUGUUUAAUUGGAGAGGAUCUCAGAGAUCCGAGAUUAUAAUUAUGACGCCCUAAAUGCCGAGCUCUUCGAAAGUCUGCCAUUGCCCUUGCUGUCACCCUGAACAUCUCUGAAAAUCCAAACCCUGCAGCCCCCAGAGCAUGCCCUGCGUCUCUCAGCCACGCCUCACCUGGGAAAUCUGAGUGAUGGUGACGUGCAGGCAGCAGGAAGACACGCAGUAAACCCAGGAGCCUGUGAUGAGCUCAGAAGAGGUGAGUUGAUGAUCUGCUAUUUAUAGCCCCAC
Non-coding RNA from Odocoileus virginianus texanus, 1334 nucleotides. Lineage: Eukaryota; Metazoa; Chordata; Mammalia; Artiodactyla; Cervidae. The record is from RefSeq and is a predicted model, not a curated record.